CGAGGGGCAGCAUGGUCUUAGCUUGCUAAGGCCGAUGGCGACCGGCGCACGGGUGAGUAACACGUAUCCAACCUGCCGUCUACUCUUGGACAGCCUUCUGAAAGGAAGAUUAAUACAAGAUGGCAUCAUGAGUCCGCAUGUUCACAUGAUUAAAGGUAUUCCGGUAGACGAUGGGGAUGCGUUCCAUUAGAUAGUAGGCGGGGUAACGGCCCACCUAGUCUUCGAUGGAUAGGGGUUCUGAGAGGAAGGUCCCCCACAUUGGAACUGAGACACGGUCCAAACUCCUACGGGAGGCAGCAGUGAGGAAUAUUGGUCAAUGGGCGAGAGCCUGAACCAGCCAAGUAGCGUGAAGGAUGACUGCCCUAUGGGUUGUAAACUUCUUUUAUAAAGGAAUAAAGUCGGGUAUGGAUACCCGUUUGCAUGUACUUUAUGAAUAAGGAUCGGCUAACUCCGUGCCAGCAGCCGCGGUAAUACGGAGGAUCCGAGCGUUAUCCGGAUUUAUUGGGUUUAAAGGGAGCGUAGAUGGAUGUUUAAGUCAGUUGUGAAAGUUUGCGGCUCAACCGUAAAAUUGCAGUUGAUACUGGAUAUCUUGAGUGCAGUUGAGGCAGGCGGAAUUCGUGGUGUAGCGGUGAAAUGCUUAGAUAUCACGAAGAACUCCGAUUGCGAAGGCAGCCUGCUAAGCUGCAACUGACAUUGAGGCUCGAAAGUGUGGGUAUCAAACAGGAUUAGAUACCCUGGUAGUCCACACGGUAAACGAUGAAUACUCGCUGUUUGCGAUAUACUGCAAGCGGCCAAGCGAAAGCGUUAAGUAUUCCACCUGGGGAGUACGCCGGCAACGGUGAAACUCAAAGGAAUUGACGGGGGCCCGCACAAGCGGAGGAACAUGUGGUUUAAUUCGAUGAUACGCGAGGAACCUUACCCGGGCUUAAAUUGCAGAUGAAUUACGGUGAAAGCCGUAAGCCGCAAGGCAUCUGUGAAGUGCUGCAUGGUUGU
This 993-nucleotide ribosomal RNA is filed under the name Phocaeicola vulgatus. Its description in RNAcentral is "bacterial SSU rRNA". It matches the Rfam family "Bacterial small subunit ribosomal RNA", at positions 63 to 1052 of the family's 1533-position model. The record is from RNAcentral. Lineage: Bacteria; Pseudomonadati; Bacteroidota; Bacteroidia; Bacteroidales; Bacteroidaceae.